Molecule: ribosomal RNA, 465 nt
Filed under: uncultured bacterium
Lineage: Bacteria
Description: partial 16S ribosomal RNA
Rfam family: Bacterial small subunit ribosomal RNA
Source: RNAcentral
GACGAACGCUGGCGGCGUGCUUAACACAUGCAAGUCGAACGGAAAGGCCCUGCUUGCAGGGUACUCGAGUGGCGAACGGGUGAGUAACACGUGGGUGAUCUGCCCUGCACUUCGGGAUAAGCCUGGGAAACUGGGUCUAAUACCGGAUAGGAGCCAUUUUUAGUGUGAUGGUUGGAAAGUUUUUUCGGUGUAGGAUGAGCUCGCGGCCUAUCAGCUUGUUGGUGGGGUAAUGGCCUACCAGGGCGGCGACGGGUAGCCGGCCUGAGAGGGUGGACGGCCACAUUGGGACUGAGAUACGGCCCAGACGCCUACGGGAGGCAGCAGUGGGGAAUAUUGCACAAUGGGCGCAAGCCUGAUGCAGCGACGCCGCGUGGGGGAUGACGGCCUUCGGGUUGUAAACUCCUUUCGCUAGGGACGAAGCUUUUUGUGACGGUACCUAGAGAAGAAGCACCGGCUAACUACGUG